This 72-nucleotide transfer RNA is filed under the name Bos taurus (domestic cattle). It matches the Rfam family "tRNA". Rfam says of the family: Transfer RNA (tRNA) molecules are approximately 80 nucleotides in length. Their secondary structure includes four short double-helical elements and three loops (D, anti-codon, and T loops). The record is from Rfam by way of RNAcentral. Lineage: Eukaryota; Metazoa; Chordata; Mammalia; Artiodactyla; Bovidae. RNAcentral also lists the same sequence under 5 other names.
UCCCUGGUGGCUCAAAAGGUAAAGCAUCUGCCUACAGAGCAGGAGACCCGGGUUUGAUCCCUGGGUUGGGAA